UUCUUCAACAAAUCAACAAAAUAUACUAAUUGAAGCACAAAAUAUCUCAAUUAAGGGUGGUAUUUAAGGCAUUGAAUUGGAUUUAAAUACUAACUAAAGUAUUUUAAUUGAAAUUGUGGUUAUUCAAAGGAAAAAAAUGAAAACAACGGAUCGAUUGUGUGAAAACACGGAGGGUGAUAAUUUACAUUCAAUCAUGAUACAACAUGAAGGUAGAUGAAAUAUCACAAGUGUUUUUUUAUGUAUUCAAUCAUAAUUUCUCAAAUAAUUUUGAUAUUUAUAGCGAGAAAUUCGAUUAUAAUACUAACUUAAGUAUUUUAAUUGAAGCUGAAGUUAUUCAAAAUGAAAAAAAAUGAAAAAGAAAAAAUGAUUUUCUCAUAAUAUGGAUGGUGAUAAUUACAUUCAAUCAUACAACAUGGAGGAAGCUGGAAUAUCACAUAUAAUUUCAAUCUUUUUCAAUGUUUAAAUUCUUCAAAUUCCAUACAUAAAAUUAUGUUGAUUUGAUUAUAUUUUAUUUGUUUUGUAUUGAUUUAGAAAAGUACACAUGUGAAUUUCAAAUUCGAAGAAAUUGUUUAUUAUUAAAAAACGCAAUACAAUGACCCGAUCAAUGUGAUUGCAUUUUGGUGUGCAGGUGUAUUUAAAUCAAGGAAAGGUGAAUAGAAAUUUCUUCAUCAAGUAUCCAUUGUGUAUAAUGUUGAGGAAUGUGACUAUGGAUGUAAUAGUGUAGUGUCGAAUUCAUUGUUGAUGAAAAUAGUUUACAUUCAAUUAAAGAAAUUCGGGAGAUAAAAGAUCUAUAUUAAAAUAAUUGCUUGGGGCCAAAACAAUAAUCACUAAAAUGUAGAAGAUCUACCAAUUCAACCGUUAAACAUAAUGUGAUUAGUUGUUUUUGUUUCACCAUUAAGAUGCACAUUGAUUGUAUUGUAUUGUAUUGUAUUAAAGAGGUAUAUAAAUUCGUAUUGUAUGGAAAAGGUAUAUAAAUAGAUGUCCCAUAUAAUAUGAUUAGUUAUUUCGUAUUGUAUGAAAAGAGUAUUUAAAAAAGAUACUUCAUGACGUGAUUAGUUAUUUCAUGUUUCAUGAAAAUUGUAUCGAAAUUGAUAUCAUGCAGUUGUAG
This 1108-nucleotide long non-coding RNA is filed under the name Capsicum annuum. RNAcentral's name for it is "long non-coding RNA (CANN_LNC011910)". Lineage: Eukaryota; Viridiplantae; Streptophyta; Magnoliopsida; Solanales; Solanaceae. The record is from RNAcentral.